This 573-nucleotide long non-coding RNA is filed under the name Mytilus galloprovincialis (Mediterranean mussel). The record is from RNAcentral. Lineage: Eukaryota; Metazoa; Mollusca; Bivalvia; Mytilida; Mytilidae.
UGUCUUUAAACUUUUUAUUUUGUCCUUUUUAAUCAUUUCUUCUUAUAACUCUGUGGGAGCAGUAUGGGUUGUGAUGCAUCCAUAGUACAGGAAGAUUACUCUGUGAGUAAUUUCUUCUAGCUCCGGUUGGGAUGCGUGCGAAUUUCUAAUUUGUUACCACUUAAUUUUGGGCCCAGCUGAAGGACGCCUCCGGGUGCGGCAGUUUUUCGCUGCAUUGAAGACACAUUGGUGUCCUUCGGCUAUUGUCUGCCUAUGGUCGGGUUGUCGUCUCUUUGAAAAAUUCCCCAUUUCCAUUCUCAAUUUUAUAUCAUUUAAAAACCGUUAUCUAUACUUAAAUAAUUAAAAUGCACAAAGAGGAAAAAAAUGCUGUCUUGGUAGUCUGUUGAUAUUUAAGUGUGCCUCUCUGAAUUGUGUUUAAUCGAUUUGUUGAUUCCAUGCCAUUUCAAACAAUAUCGGCUUGGCGUUAACUUAAUAUAUAUAUAUAUAUGGGAUGCGUCUGUUGUCGACGAAAGCAGUGCUUAUCCAAAUUUGAUAAAUUCAGAUAUAUUUUCGAGAUAUUUCGACUACAAUGAU